UUAAUUCUCUACUUCAGUUUGCCAUGCCGGCAGCAAAGCAGUCUCUAGAGCAAGAAAAAGCCCUCAAAGUGGUGCAGGUGGCAGUAUCUGCACUGAAGUGGUGAGGAAGGAGCAGCAACAUUUCAGGACUUCUUGGGUGGAAGAAAGUUGGCAGAGAGAAAGUCCACAAUCUUCAACUCCAUGAGGAAUUAAGAGGAAGGCCUCACCCAUGCUUGAAAAAUAACUGCUUCUAG
Long non-coding RNA from Cebus imitator (Panamanian white-faced capuchin), 233 nucleotides. RefSeq lists it as uncharacterized. The transcript has 3 exons. The record is from RefSeq and is a predicted model, not a curated record. Lineage: Eukaryota; Metazoa; Chordata; Mammalia; Primates; Cebidae.